This 519-nucleotide ribosomal RNA is filed under the name uncultured Glomus. RNAcentral's name for it is "SSU rRNA". It matches the Rfam family "Eukaryotic small subunit ribosomal RNA", at positions 548 to 1072 of the family's 1831-position model. The record is from RNAcentral. Lineage: Eukaryota; Fungi; Glomeromycota; Glomeromycetes; Glomerales; Glomeraceae.
UUGGAGGGCAAGUCUGGUGCCAGCAGCCGCGGUAAUUCCAGCUCCAAUAGCGUAUAUUAAAGUUGUUGCAGUUAAAAAGCUCGUAGUCGAAUUUCGGGAUCAAUUUAUUGGUCGUGCUAUUGUACGUACUGGUAUUAUUGAUUCCUACCUUCUGACGAACCAUGAUGUCAUUAAUUUGGUGUCAUGGGGAAUCAGGACUGUUACUUUGAAAAAAUUAGAGUGUUUAAAGCAGGCUCACGCUUGAAUACAUUAGCAUGGAAUAACGAAAUAGGACGUUUGAUUCUAUUUUGUUGGUUUCUAGGAUCGACGUAAUGAUUAAUAGGGAUAGUUGGGGGCAUUAGUAUUCAAUUGUCAGAGGUGAAAUUCUUGGAUUUAUUGAAGACUAACUACUGCGAGAGCAUUUGCCAAGGAUGUUUUCAUUAAUCAAGAACGAAAGUUAGGGGAUCGAAGACGAUCAGAUACCGUCGUAGUCUUAACCAUAAACUAUGCCGACUAGGGAUCGGAUGAUCGCUAAUUUAU